Osmia bicornis bicornis is the source of this 1613-nucleotide long non-coding RNA. RefSeq lists it as uncharacterized. The record is from RefSeq and is a predicted model, not a curated record. NCBI's taxonomy places the organism in Eukaryota, Metazoa, Arthropoda, Insecta, Hymenoptera, Megachilidae. The transcript has 2 exons.
UUUUGCACGGGGACUCUUUUUAUGCUUAUUUUUUCUUUUCUUUUACAUAUUCUGAAAUAUCCAUAAGCUUCUAGUAUUUUAAUAGCAAUAUUCUAUUCUUUUUUUUUUAGCACGUCGAAUGCCAAGAAUAAUAAUACUCUGUAAUUGCAAUAAAUUACUCAAGAUAUAAUACAUUUUUCUUUAACUAGCCUAGUUAGCCUUCAUUGACUUUACUAAAUUUUUUUAGGUAUUUGCAUAAGCGGGGACCAAUACAUAUUUUGGGGAGGGUAGAUCCACCCUACUCCUACUUAAUUAGACUAAUUUAGUUCGUGGUAUCAGUGACUGAUAAUCCCCUUGGCAUUCAACGUGUUAAUAUAAUUGUAGAAACUUUUGGAUACUCUCUGCAAUGCUAGAUAUUUUUAGGUAUGUCUUUUCUUUCAAUUCUAGCUUAUUGUCAGUUUUUUUUAGCACAUUGAUCAUCAAGUAUUAGGUGUAUGUACAUGAAAUCCACAGAGUACAGCAAAAUACAUGGUUUAAUUUAAUUUUAUUUUAUUUUAUAAAGAAGUUUAUCCUAUAUACGCUAUAUUCGACAAAGGUUUGCCAAUGAUUUUAUACGCUUAUAAACCAUAAUUGUAUUUUAACGUUCAAUAGAGUACAUGCAUUCUCUGUGGCCCAAUAUCGUGUUUGCUUCGUCAAAUAACGUACGCUCUUUGAAAAUUCAGUGAUCUCAAUUUUGAACGAGUAAUACGCUUUGAUUGCUACUCGCAAUCCGUAAACAACUCGAAUUUUGUAAACAUACAAAUUUUCACGUGAAAAUGUCAAACUACUAAUUGUUUAUUAAUCAUAAAUUAUACUGCACUCUCUGUAUAAAUAUAAAACAUUUCAAAUAUUUUAGUCCAAACUUAAUUUUUCAUUUUUUCAAUAGAAUUUAAUUAAAAUAUACUUGAGAUCAAUGUGUUAAAUAUUUUUAAUUAAUUCUCAAUUUAUUAGAUUCAGUUAACUCUCGUACGGUGGACCACGAAAAGAGCUUCAAUUUUAAUUCAAUUUUGUAUUUCACAUUAUUUUCAAACUAUUCUUUUAGAUAUUAUUUGCAAUUUAAAAAAUUAAAUGGCUAUUUUUAAUUCAAACAUAAUUGAACUUUUCAUAGUUCCGGGUCACGAUUGACCUGGCUCCAUCGUUUAAGGGUUAACGUUAAUUUUCCGAUUGAAAGUUUGAUGAAAAGUUAAAGUUUAAUUGGAGCCCGUAUUUGAUCAACUUUAUAACAAGUACUCCACCUUAUAAAUUGAGAAUUAAUUUACAAAAGGGGUUCAUGGUAAGCAUGAUUAGAUUUGUUCUUUUUGAAAUUCUAAACUGAAAGCACUAUGCAUAUUGUUUCUGUACUGCACAAAAUUUCACUUUCUUACAUAGCAAUUUAUCAUCUGUAAAAAAUGUCUGCUAUUUGUCUUCAGUUUCGUCGAAAUCGUGUGAUAGAAUAUUCAGUAAAAAACAAAAAGUACGAAAUGAAUAUUUAACGACGCUUUGAAUUUGAAUAACACUCAUAUUUUAUUUGCUAUGGUAUUCACGCUUUUAAACGUUCGUUUUUCGUGCUAUUGGAAAAAAAAAAAAAAGAAAAAUGCAAAUAUUUCAUUUUUGGG